GAUGAAGAACGCAGCGAAAUGCGAUAAGUAGUGUGAAUUGCAGAAUUCAGUGAAUCAUCGAAUCUUUGAACGCACAUUGCGCCCCUUGGUAUUCCAUGGGGCAUGCCUGUUCGAGCGUCAUUUGUACCCUCAAGCUAAGCUUGGUGUUGGGUGUUUGUCCACUCCCUCGUGUUUGGACUCGCCUUAAAACAAUUGGCAGCCAGUGUUUUGGUAUUGAAGCGCAGCACAAUUUGCGACUCUAGCCUAGAAUACUAGCAUCCAUCAAGUCAUUUUUAACGCUUGACCUCGGAUCAGGUAGGGAUACCCGCUGAACUUAAGCAUAUCAAUAAGCGGAGGA
This 337-nucleotide unclassified non-coding RNA is filed under the name soil metagenome. RNAcentral's name for it is "partial contains 5.8S ribosomal RNA, internal transcribed spacer 2, and large subunit ribosomal RNA". The stretch from base 1 to 120 matches the Rfam family "5.8S ribosomal RNA", at positions 35 to 154 of the family's 154-position model. The record is from RNAcentral.